This 420-nucleotide ribosomal RNA is filed under the name bacterium. Its description in RNAcentral is "partial 16S ribosomal RNA". It matches the Rfam family "Bacterial small subunit ribosomal RNA", at positions 355 to 776 of the family's 1533-position model. The record is from RNAcentral.
UGGGGGAUAUUGCACAAUGGGCGAAAGCCUGAUGCAGCGACGCCGCGUGGGUGAUGAAGGCUUUCGGGUUGUAAACCUCUUUCGCUAUCGAACAAGGCCCGCUUAGGGUGGGUUGAGGGUAGGUGGAGAAGAAGCGCCGGCUAACUACGUGCCAGCAGCCGCGGUAAUACGUAGGGCGCGAGCGUUGUCCGGAAUUAUUGGGCGUAAAGGGCUUGUAGGCGGCUUGUUGCGCCUGCUGUGAAAACGCGGGGCUUAACUUCGCGCGUGCAGUGGGUACGGGCAGGCUUGAGUGUGGUAGGGGUGACUGGAAUUCCAGGUGUAGCGGUGGAAUGCGCAGAUAUCUGGAGGAACACCGAUGGCGAAGGCAGGUCACUGGGCCAUUACUGACGCUGAGGAGCGAAAGCAUGGGUAGCGAACAGG